UACGAAGGGGGCUAGCGUUGCUCGGAAUCACUGGGCGUAAAGGGUGCGUAGGCGGGUUUUUAAGUCAGGGGUGAAAUCCUGGAGCUCAACUCCAGAACUGCCUUUGAAACUAGAUUGCUAGAAUCCUGGAGAGGUUAGUGGAAUUCCGAGUGUAGAGGUGAAAUUCGUAGAUAUUCGGAAGAACACCAGUGGCGAAGGCGACUAACUGGACAGGUAUUGACGCUGAGGUGCGAAAGCGUGGGGAGCAAACAGG
RNAcentral lists this ribosomal RNA (253 nucleotides) under uncultured bacterium. Its description in RNAcentral is "partial 16S ribosomal RNA". It matches the Rfam family "Bacterial small subunit ribosomal RNA", at positions 524 to 776 of the family's 1533-position model. The record is from RNAcentral.